This 432-nucleotide ribosomal RNA is filed under the name uncultured bacterium. Its description in RNAcentral is "partial 16S ribosomal RNA". It matches the Rfam family "Bacterial small subunit ribosomal RNA", at positions 29 to 507 of the family's 1533-position model. The record is from RNAcentral.
ACGAACGCUGGCGGCAGGCCUCACACAUGCAAGUCGAGCGAGGACUUCGGUUCUAGCGGCGGACGGGUGAGUAACGCGUGGGAAUGUGCCCUUCUCUACGGAAUAGCCCUGGGAAACUGGGAGUAAUACCGUAUACGCCCUAUUGGGGAAAGAUUUAUCGGAGAAGGAUCAGCCCGCGUUGGAUUAGGUAGUUGGUGGGGUAAUGGCCUACCAAGCCGACGAUCCAUAGCUGGUUUGAGAGGAUGAUCAGCCACACUGGGACUGAGACACGGCCCAGACUCCCACGGGAGACAGCAGUGGGGAAUCUUAGACAAUGGGGGCAACCCUGAUCUAGCCAUGCCGCGUGAGUGAUGAAGGCCUUAGGGUUGUAAAGCUCUUUCAGCUGGGAAGAUAAUGACGGUACCAGCAGAAGAAGCCCCGGCUAACUCCGUG